This 436-nucleotide ribosomal RNA is filed under the name uncultured bacterium. RNAcentral's name for it is "bacterial SSU rRNA". It matches the Rfam family "Bacterial small subunit ribosomal RNA", at positions 30 to 470 of the family's 1533-position model. The record is from RNAcentral.
AUUGAACGCUGGCGGCAUGCCUUACACAUGCAAGUCGAACGGCAGCGGGCCUUCGGGUGCCGGCGAGUGGCGAACGGGUGAGUAAUGCAUCGGAACGUGCCAUUGAGUGGGGGAUAACGUAGCGAAAGUUGCGCUAAUACCGCAUAUUCUGUGAGCAGGAAAGCAGGGGACCGCAAGGCCUUGCGCUUUUUGAGCGGCCGAUGUCAGAUUAGCUAGUUGGUGAGGUAAAGGCUUACCAAGGCGACGAUCUGUAGCGGGUCUGAGAGGAUGAUCCGCCACACUGGAACUGAGACACGGUCCAGACUCCUACGGGAGGCAGCAGUGGGGAAUUUUGGACAAUGGGGGCAACCCUGAUCCAGCCAUGCCGCGUGAGUGAAGAAGGCCUCGGUGUAAGUACUCUUUCGUCCGGGAAGGAAAGUACGCGAUGGGUGGAGUA